UGGGGAAUUUUGGACAAUGGGCGAAAGCCUGAUCCAGCCAUGCCGCGUGCGGGAAGAAGGCCUUCGGGUUGUAAACCGCUUUUGGCAGGAACGAAACGGCGCGAGCCAAUACCUCGCGCUAAUGACGGUACCUGCAGAAUAAGCACCGGCUAACUACGUGCCAGCAGCCGCGGUAAUACGUAGGGUGCAAGCGUUAAUCGGAAUUACUGGGCGUAAAGCGUGCGCAGGCGGCUUUGCAAGACAGGUGUGAAAUCCCCGGGCCUAACCUGGGAACUGCAUUUGUGACUGCAUAGCUAGAGUCUGUCAGAGGGGGGUGGAAUUCCACGUGUAGCAGUGAAAUGCGUAGAGAUGUGGAAGAACACCGAUGGCGAAGGCAGCCCCCUGGGAUAAGACUGACGCUCAUGCACGAAAGCGUGGGGAGCAAACA
RNAcentral lists this ribosomal RNA (427 nucleotides) under uncultured Burkholderiales bacterium. RNAcentral's name for it is "partial 16S ribosomal RNA". It matches the Rfam family "Bacterial small subunit ribosomal RNA", at positions 355 to 774 of the family's 1533-position model. The record is from RNAcentral. Lineage: Bacteria; Pseudomonadati; Pseudomonadota; Betaproteobacteria; Burkholderiales.